This 468-nucleotide ribosomal RNA is filed under the name uncultured bacterium. Its description in RNAcentral is "partial 16S ribosomal RNA". It matches the Rfam family "Bacterial small subunit ribosomal RNA", at positions 28 to 507 of the family's 1533-position model. The record is from RNAcentral.
GACGAACGCUGGCGGCGUGCUUAACACAUGCAAGUCGAACGGAAAGGCCCUGCUUUUGUGGGGUGCUCGAGUGGCGAACGGGUGGGUAACACGAGAGUAACCUGCCCUUGACUUUGGGAUAACUUCAGGAAACUGGGGCUAAUACCGGACAGGAGCUCCUGCUGCAUUGUGGGGGUUGGAAAGUUUCGGCGGUUGGGGAUGGACUCGCGGCUUAUGAGCUUGUUGGUAGGGUAGUGGCUUACCAAGGCUUUGACGGGUAGCCGGCCUGAGAGGGGGACCGGCCACAUUGGGACUGAGAUACGGCCCAGACUCCGACGGGAGGCAGCCGUUGGGAAUAUUGCACAAUGGGCGGAAGCCUGAUGCAGCAACGCCGCGUGCGGGAUGACGGCCUUCGGGUUGUAAACCGCUUUCGCCUGUGACGAAGCGUGAGUGACGGUAAUGGGUAAAGAAGCACCGGCUAACUACGUG